AAAUUAAAUUAGCUUUUUUUAUUUAUUAUUUUUUUUUGUAAGCAGGUGUCUGAAGGAGAUUCGGUCUUGACCAGCGCUGGUGUCAACAAGGAGCUCUACAGCAUGGCCCCAGACUCUCACAUCUUCUUCAGCUGCUGUGCUAAUUGAAUCCACUCAGUGCACCCUGGGGUGUCUGAUGAGCCAGAGCCGGGAGUUGAAAGAUUGUCUAUUCAGAGAAAAGGUUGCAGUGGCUUAGAGGUGAGAGUAUCAGGUCGGUGUUUGAAAAAUAAAAAAAGCACACCAUGCAAACACAUUAAUACACAUAUGUUCACCACAAUCAUCCUUUGAUUCUACUACCUCGCUCCUGCCCUCACCACUGCACAGACCUGAGGCAGCACCUGAGGCUAAAGACUUUACAGGGCUCUGACUCCAAAGCAUCAGCAGUGGGCGGGAGAGAGGAAUCGAGGAUUAGGAAGGCGCGCUCUUUGUGUGUGUUUGUUUGUUCGUCUGUCUGUGUGCCUGUGCGUGUAUGGGAGAGAAAGCAAAAAGAGGAAGACAAACACAUGCUGUCAUCGUCCUCUCUUAAGGUGCUCCGGGGAUAUCACAAAUGCCAUUAGACUAGGCCACAUCCCUCAAGGCAGGUAUGUGGAGAGACUGUAGAAAAUUAGGAGACAAACACACAGACACAAGAAAGAGAGCAGGAAGUGUUGGGAUGCUGCCAUUCAACAUAUGUGGAACUUCACUGUCUUACCAGAGAGCCCGGGAGGUGACAUUAACUUUAUUUUUAUUUUGAAAUUUGCAUGUG
Molecule: long non-coding RNA, 784 nt
Filed under: Xyrichtys novacula (pearly razorfish)
Lineage: Eukaryota; Metazoa; Chordata; Actinopteri; Labriformes; Labridae
Source: RNAcentral